UUGAACGCUGGCGCAUGCCUUACACAUGCAAGUCGAACGGCAGCACGGGGCAACCUGGUGGCGAGUGGCGAACGGGUGAGUAAUGCAUCGGAACGUGCCAUUGAGUGGGGGGUAACGUAGCGAAAGUUACGCUAAUACCGCAUAUUCUGUGAGCAGGAAAGCAGGGGAUCGCAAGACCUUGCGCUCUUUGAGCGGCCGAUGUCAGAUUAGCUAGUUGGUGAGGUAACGGCUUACCAAGGCGACGAUCUGUAGCGGGUCUGAGAGGAUGAUCCGCCACACUGGAACUGAGACACGGUCCAGACUCCUACGGGAGGCAGCAGUGGGGAAUUUUGGACAAUGGGGGCAACCCUGAUCCAGCCAUGCCGCGUGAGUGAAGAAGGCCUUCGGGUUGUAAAGCUCUUUCGGCCGGGAAGAAAUCGCAUGGGUUAAUACCCUGUGUGGAUGACGGUACCGGCAUAAGAAGCACCGGCUAACUACGUG
Molecule: ribosomal RNA, 480 nt
Filed under: uncultured bacterium
Lineage: Bacteria
Description: bacterial SSU rRNA
Rfam family: Bacterial small subunit ribosomal RNA
Source: RNAcentral